Molecule: long non-coding RNA, 30225 nt
Filed under: Malus domestica (apple)
Lineage: Eukaryota; Viridiplantae; Streptophyta; Magnoliopsida; Rosales; Rosaceae
Description: long non-coding RNA (MDOM_LNC014068)
Source: RNAcentral
GGUAAAGGAAAGCAACACACUCCCGGCUGAAUUACCCCGAAAUGGUAAAGUCAAUUGCAAGCAACAGAAAAUUUAGGUUUUGCCAUAAAACAAAAACUUCUACAAUUCAACACAAUGGAGCCGAAAUUUCAAUUAUACAGAUAGUUUCACUUCUUUUUUUGUUUUUGGGAAAAAAAAAAGUUGCACUAAUUCUGAAACACUAAUGGCUCUUUUGCUACUGUAGAAGUAAAUUUUCAGCUUCAUACUUCUGUACGGCACAAAAGAAGGCAGAGGUGAAUAAUCAAACCUUGCAGUCGAGAGAAAGCCAAGCAGCACAGGAUGAUCCAGGAGUUCUCAAAAGUUACAAGUAAAGCUUCUGCAAUCGUUCAGCCCUUACCCUGCGAGAGAGAAAGGUAUGCAGUUAAACAUCGUUGGUUUCAGAGAAAACACGGUUGAUAAACUUGGAUAAACUCCAAGGUCACCGAUCGAUGAAUUAACUUACAGAUUUCCCCAUAACAAGUAAUUCGCAUCGCCAAUUACUUUAGGCUUCCAUUCAGUACUAUUUGACCUACUGUAAGUAUCCAAGGAUGCCAGGUAAGAUACUUCUUACAUUUGAUUCAUCAAAGCCUCGAAACUAUUGACUAACUCUCCACGAAACAUUAAAAACUUAGGGAAUGAUAACCACACACCCUUAUUCUUCCCCUACAUUCCCCCUUCUAAUUAUGUCCAUUGUUUCUGUUUAAUUAAUUCAAUCCGUAGGCCAGAAACAAAAAGAGGCAUGUAGGAAGAUAAAAAUGGUAUAGCAAUUCCCAAAACUUAUAGCAGUUUUUCCCCUAUUGCUUUUUGGAAGUAAUUCCUAUUUCUAAAUUUCUGUACCUUGUGAGGAGGAGUUCCUGGUCUUAACAUGUUGUUUAUCCCAAGCUUCCCCUUCUUCUCAGAGGCUUUCAAAAUCUGGAAGGAACAUGUCAAUGUAUCAUCUACACUCAUCAUGGCACCAGCAUUAUCAAACUCCCCACAGUAAUUUGGAGCUGAAAAUAUGGUUACCAGCUUCCUUUUUCCAAAAAACUCAUAUCCAUCUUCCACAACCUGAUAAAUGAAACCCAAGAAAUUUAAUAAGAAACGGACAAACAUUGAGAGACUCUACUAAUAAAAUUCAGUUUGCAUCUCAGACCAGGCAAAACAUGUUCACAACUAAUCAUAUAAAGAAUUUCACUCCAGCAUCAAUUGAAAGAGAGUAUCCAAUCAAUUAAAUGAGUACGUGACGGAACAGGUGAAAUACAAGAAGUCCUCCUGUGAAUAAAUUUUUCAAUUGUGUAGCUAUUUAUUGAAAAGUUUACCUGCGCCCAGAAUCUCAACACGGCACAUGGCAUACUAGCAUUCGAUACCAAUACAUCAUUAGGGUAACAACCCAAUGGACAUGCCACAAUGACAAAGUAGAUGAUGGGUAGUGGAAUGAAUAUGAAAAGGAGUGGAAAUCAACCCAUAAAAACAGAUAAAUCAUGCAAACACACACAGAAUCUCUAAUUAUAACUUACUCCGUGUGCUUUUACAUGUUUACCAAAUUCGAAAGAUGAAAUUUUAAAUAAAGUUACUUCAAAAUUAUCAUCCAUAUUACUGUCAUGACAAGUUUAACUGUACAAUAAAAGUGAUUAUUUGAAGAUGCAUCACAUGAUGCCAAAUAUUUAAGUUCCCAGACUUUGUGUAUGCAUGAGCAUGCAGGUCCAGUUCAGUAUAAAAAACAAAAAACAAAAAGAGAGAAAAUAACUUCAUAGCACCUGAUGAGCGCGGCAAAUAAGAUCUAGGUCAUGUUUCUGGAGAAAUUCAGCAACCUUGUCAGCACCAAAUGUAUAUGACACGCCACGAUCAUUCUCUCCCCAACCUUCAACAUCUUUAUCAGGAUCAGCCCAUAAUAGAUCACAGAGAAGGCCCUGAUCUGGCACAUCCACUGGCCGUGCAAUAUUCCUAAUCUGAUCUAAGUGUUUCAAAUCAGGAGAUAGACCGCCAUGCAUGCAAAGGAUUUUCUCAUCAAUAAGAGCAGCAACAGGAAGACAGUUGAAGCAGUCAGUAAAUGUCUUCCAAAUACGAACAUUAAAUCUUCUCUUGCACUCAUCAUAGAAUCCAUAGAUGCGGUUGAUGGAAGCGCAUUCAUGGUUGCCUCUGAGGAGAAAGAAGUUCUCCUUGUAUUUGAUCUUGUAUGCAAGGAGAAGGCAUAUUGUCUCUAUGCUCUGCUUACCACGAUCAACAUAGUCUCCUAGGAAUAAAUAAUUGGCUUCCGGUGGGUACCCACCAUACUCAAACAGUCGCAAAAGAUCUGAAAACUGACCGUGAACAUCUCCUGUGAAACAAAGAGGGAAGAUGAGCGUUGUCAUCUUAGUAAUCAACAGAAAUUUCACAUGUUUUUAAUUCAGGAAACCAUUAUAAAAAAUUAAAAAAAUUAAAAUAAAAAUAAAAAACCUAACAUACAUCUACAUUAUAGACUCAAUUCAAAAUUGGUCUUUGAUAUUUAUUUAAAACAAGAUCCUUUUACCAUGAUCAACAGAAACGGAUUUGCUUCCAUUUCAUAAAGACAAGAGUGAAGAUGAGAAUGCAAACCAAAUAAGGGUUGGUGGUCAUGAGUAUAAAAUUACUUAACAACUGGAAUUCCUUAACAAGUCACGGCGCUAAAUGGUGGAAAGUGAAAGGAACCUAAUAAACAAAAAAGUGGAGUCCAAAAGCUAUGCCUGCCCUCCGCAUCCAAUAAAUAGAAGCUAUAUGUGCUAUUUUGUGCGCUAUAACAAUUCGAGUGACACGUAACACUACAAGACUGGCAUACUAGAAAAACACAAGAAAAUUUAGCCGACAUUCAAGUUGUAUAUGCCAGUGUAAUAAAUGAGGAUCAAAUAUAACGGCUAAUGCAUGGUAGACAUUUACCCAGGGGGGGCAGAGACAUCAAAUUUUGACUGCUUUCAUGAGUCAAUCUCCACCUCAAAAAAGGGUACUCUCAUUCGUCACAAUGACGAACUUCAAUGGCUAUCCACCAAAUCCAACUUCAGAGAAUGCCUACUUACACAAAGCACACAUGGAACUAGAAACGCAAAAAUUAAUGCCUGUCUAAUCUAAAAGUAGAAAAAAUGCACAAUACAGCCACAUCAUAGACACUAGUCCUGGAUGACCUAAGAACUAUUCUUCAGAGUAAGAAGCCUAUUUAACGCACCAACAGGCAACCACGCCAAAACAAAAGACAAGGGACAAGCUAACGAAUUACUGAAAGGCACAUACGAAACCUUAUACUGCAAUGCUCAAAAGUUUUGUCACAUAACCCUGCCAAAGUCGCAAAAUUUUCUAAUGAAAAGCUACAUUAAAUCCUCUGACCAUCAACUUUACUUCACAAGAAAAAACCAGUAAUAAUCCAAACUGUGCUAAAUCAUACUUUCCACUGUGCAAUAUAUAUAUAUGAAAUUUCACCCAGUAACCCUUUCACUGGUAAUUGCCCCUUCUGCUCUAAUCAAAUGAACCAUAACCCGAAAAACAUAAACUCAUUUUCUUUCCAACAAAUUACACAAACCAGACAUACAAAAUUCCAAUUUCCAACCAUCAAACCCUUUUUAUAUUUGCAAAUUACCCACAUUGCUCUUUCACACAAUCAAGUCCAAAUUCAACACAUAAACAUGCCAACAAAGUCAAAGAAGCAACUUUUCAAUUCAUCCGAAGCGAAAAACCAAAACUUUCAAUCCACAAAUUAAUUAAAAACCCUAGUCCUUUACCACAAAUCUUAAUUGGAGCUUCAAGCUCCAGAAGAUUCGGCUGACUGAGAAAGAUUUCCUUGGAGGCAGAGCAAAGCUGCCUUAUUUCAGCUUCCGUCAGUUGCACCUGUUUGGUGGUCCGGCCAUUCUUCGCAGCCACAAGCUUUCGUAUAAGAUCGUCGACAAUACUCUCGUCCAUCACAGCAAGUCUUCUCUACCCACACACAAAUCGCACCCAGAAAAAAAAAAACCAAUAAAGCAAACGAACCCAGAAUACCAAAACCCUAGCUCUUGGGUGAGGUGAAAAGUGAGAGGAGAUCCGAGAGAGAGAGAAUCAGAAGAACAAGGAAGAGUGUCAAAAUCACAAGGAGAGAUUUUGGGAAAUAAUAUCUAGGGAUUUACAUGUUGGAGAAGAUGUGGUGGAGGUGUGCGUGGCGGCCAAUUUCGGCUGGUAAAAUGACGCAGAGAGGGGAGAGAGAGAGAGAGAGAGAGAGAGAGAGGAGAAUUGAAAAGUGAGUCCGAGUUGGGCUUGGGGGAGGACAUGGCGGGUAUUUUAUUAUUAUUUUACUUUUGCUUAGUUUGGUGGGUUUUUGAAAUUUCAUACAUCUAUUUUUUUUUUCUUUUUUUUUUAUUAAACGAUGUAUUUUGUUGGAUUAAAUUAGAUGUUAGAUUAGUCACUGACUAUGUUCGAACUCACACCGUCAUGCAAGAACUUAAUUGUUUUUCACUACUAUAUAAAGGCCACUAGCCAAUUUUUUUUUUUCAUACCAGUGAUAUUUGAAAAUGAUCUAAAAAUUUUUACCGUUAGAUUCUUAUUCGUUGCAUCCUUAAUUAAAACACCAAAUUUAAUUAUCUGUUUGUACCGUUGCGAGUCAUAAAGAAAUCAAAAUUCAAGAAUGUGGUGUGGUAUGAUAAAUAUUUUUAACCACUUCUAAUGUGAUGCCAUAAAUUAUAUAGAAAGAUUAUUAUCUUUAUGAAUUGUGAUUUGGUUACAAUUAUGAGACUCAAAUUCUUAAUGCCAAGUAUUUUUUGUUUCCUAUAUUUCGAUUUUUCAUCCACUCUAUGUGCAAUUUUUGUAAAUAUUUACACUAUUAAAUAUGUGAAGAAAUAUGUCACAUGGCUGGAAUUAGUAAGACGUUCGAUUUCCGAUUACGUUAUCCUCCUAUUUGAUAGACAUGCUAAUGUAAUUUCCUUUUACAAAAUGAUGCAUGCACAUUGAAUAAUAAUGACUCGUAUUUCAAAUCUUAAAAUUCCAACCAAUGUGACAACAUUUUUUUUUUUUGUUUAUAUUUCGCUUGCUCAAUGAUUGACUUUCCUUUUCCUUUUGCAUAGUUGCCGGGGAACAAUAAUAAAGUUGUAGGCUCAUGAGUUCAUUUUUAUUCUUCAUUAUCUAUUCUAAAGUUUGAGAAGAGUGUGGUUGUAGCUUAACUACAAUCUCAACCCAAUGAGUGAACAUCAUAAAGAAAAUAGAAGUAGAAAAAGAUGAAUAAGAUGAAAAUAGAGUUUUGCCGGAAUGUUGGGUGUCACACCAGAGUGAUAGUUAAGGUGAAUUUUAUUUUUCGUUAUUGUAUAAAUUAGAAACCACGUGACCUCCAAGCAGCACAUUAAAUCACUUGCAGGUGGAAAGCAUCAAUGUAAUUAGAAUUCCCCUCUAGUGCACAAUUUUAAAAACUAAAAACUCUGGGUUCCAAUAGAAUCAAUCAUGCAAGCAAGAUGCAUACAAAUCAAGGAACAAUGUUACAAGUUUCAAAAGCUUGUUACAUAAUGAUUAUGAAGGAAGUUGGAAGCAAAAGUUUAAAACCAAAGGCAUCAAUAGGAGAAAAUGAUGCAUGGAGCCCUCACCUGAAGAUGUUUGCACAAAUGUCCUUUGAUAGGAGUUUUUAUAGGAGGUGGAUUCUCUGCCCUCCUAUUUGUGUGAUUACAGUUAAACCACGCCAACAUUUUAUAUUACUAUUCCUUUUUGUCUUAUUAUCUCUAUAAAAAAAUAAUAUAAAAUGUUGACGUGACUUAACCGUAACCACACAAAACAAGAGGGCAUGGGAGGGCACUGGAAGUGGGAGGGCAGAGAAUAUGCCUUUGUUUUUAUACGUGUAUAACUGUUUUACAGAUAAAAGUAAAAUGUAAUAAUCAGCAUCAUAGCAAUGAAGUUUCAUCAUGGAAGGAUUACCAAACUACACAUUUUUCAUCCAUUUUAACUUUAGAGAAAUGGACAACAAAAAAGUAGAUAAGAUACAAAACACACUUGUGGAUGCAAAUUUUCGUUGUCUUCUCAUUUAAUGAAAAUGCACCUGCAAAAUAAUAACACCUAAGAUUAAGGCCAAAAGCCUCACGCGCCCACGAUGAAUGGAAGGGCUGUGGCCGAAGAAUCUCCAAUGCCGAAGUUAGAAUUCUGAAAAGAAUGUGUUUAGGAGUUUGUGGGUAGCAAAAUGGUUUAACAUUUUAGUGGGAGAAUAGGGCUAUUUAUAGGGGAGUGGCCGGUCCUAUUCUCCAAAUAGGGUCGGCCAUAUAUGGUGAAAUUGUGAGUAUAAUUGGAAGAUAUUAUGUGAAAUAAUAUCUUGCAAUUAACUUGGCAAUUAAUCCUAAAUUAAAUAGGAAAAUUGGGAGUUACCUUUUGAAUAAGGAUUUGAUGAGUAAUGAGAGGAAUUUAAAUAAAUAUCAUUUUGAUCACCUUUGACUGUUCCUUGAUUGAACCAUUAUUGUAUGUUGCAUGCGCGUGGGAAUCCUGGUGUGCCCCGAGAGUAAUUUUGUCCUUUUACCCAAAAACCCACGUGUCACCUCCAUAAUUUUCUUGAUUAUUUUUUGCUCCACAAAUACCCCCACACAUGUUGGGCUGCUCGCAGGAAUGGGCAGCAUGUGUAGAGAUCUUCCCUUGCUUUAAGAAACGUGAGAUUGUUUCCUAUUCUGAUGUAGAUUCACACAUUAAUUGGAAAUUAGAUCCUUCUAGGAAAGGGAACUAAUCACUUCCAAAGUCUAUUUAAGUCUACCUUAAGGAGAUGAUUAAAUCAACUUCAGAGAGAAAUUUAUUAUACCCUACAAGGGAGAGAGCUAGAGGAUAUUUGUUCUCCCUCCCCUAGCAAUCUUCUACACUUGCCCAUGCAAAGCACCAUCUUUCGUUGCUUUCUUUGUCUUCACGCCGCACCAAGGUAAUUUUUCCUUGUCUUCGUAAUUUUUUGGAGCAUCGGGGAUUGAAAUUUGGCUAGACGAGGAUUAAGGAUGUGUGAAAAGAUGACUUGGAAAGGCCACGACAUUGUUGCCAUGGGUGGCAUGAUGUGGCGACAGCUGGUUGGGCUAGGUGACGCUUGGUUUAGGCUGAGCUGAUUUGAGCGAAAUGGGCGUUGGGCUGGGCCUGGCAUGGGCCAGGCAUAUGAGCAGCAGGCUAGGCUUUAGGCCUGGUCUGCUGAGGUGGUGUCAAGGAGGCAUGGGCCUCCUGGUUUGCUGGGCUCAGGCCCGUGUGUAAAGAGAAAAUGUGAGAGGCACGGGGGUGCCAGUCCCCUUUUCCAGCUGAGUUGGGCCAAAAGGCCUUUAGGCCGAGGGAGAAUGGACCAGGUCUUGGGGCCUGGCAUGGCUUCCGGGUUCUUGCAAUCUUGGGUCCAUGGUUGGUUGGUCCUUGGGCCGUAAAGCCUGGUGCGCUUGUUUUUUUAUUUUUUAUUUUUUUGGUGCAACUGUGUAAUUAUUCUUCCUUGUAUCUUUGUAGAAUUCUUUGAGUAUGUCUUCUUCAAGCCACAAGAGUGACAAUGGUGUGUCACCGUUGUAUCGCCAAGGCAGCUCUUUGGGUAAAGUGGGCUACUUCAAGGCUGCUCACUUCAAAAUUAGCUCUAAUGACUCGUUUAGAGAUUUUUAGAGAUUUUCUUGACAAUAUAGAAGCAGCUGGCGUAACUGAUGAAAAACACAACAACAAAAAAUUGAUGGUGUUCCAAUAUUUUAGCGAAAAACACACUCUUUUUUAUAAUGAGAGAUUCAAAAGUUCAAAAUAUAUGGAAUGAGAAAGAUCACAUUAAUAGGCAUCAACGUUUAACCUAUGAUAUCUUCAUAUGAAGCUACUCAGCCUCUCCCAAUAGAAUCAAUUGAAAAUUAGCAGAUAUCUCAUAAAGUUUCUAGCAUUAACAUUUCUAAAAGUAAAUCCUGAUAAUACGUUUCAAAUCAAAUGUCCCAAGAAUACAUAUCUCCAACGUAAAAAUAUGGUAUAACAUUAAUAUAUGGUGUGAUAAUAUUUUUGCAAUUUCUCUAGCUUCUAACCAUUUCUUCCAUGCCCAGACUAAACACGUCGAAAUUGACUAUCAUUACAGUCGUGAAGUUGUCUUUGCUCAACUUAUCAAGAUUCAAGUCAAGAUCAAACAACAAACAUUCAUACAAAGUCUUUGUCCAGGCACAGAUUCUUAUAUCUUCAAUCCAAGCUUUCUCUUGGUCCCUUUGAUGGUUCCAAGUUCAGCUUGAGGGGGUGUAAAGAAGCUAAAGUAUAGUCAUCAAAGUGUUGAUAAAAGUUGGUUAGAGUUUGUUAGAGUCCUUUUGUAAAUUCUUAUUUUAGUUAAGGGUAUUAGUGUAAUCUGCUAGAAAGCCCAAGACUAUAUAUAUAACAAAUGCAAGCCUUUAAGGGAAGGGUCCCAUUUUUCAAAAAAAAUUAAGGACAACCUCUUGACCGUUAGAUUUAACUUUAAUGAAAUUCUGUGGUUGAAAUUUUGUGGCCUGUAAUUUAAUCUCAACCACAGAAUUUCAUUAAAACCAAAUUUAACGGUUAAGGGGUGUCUCCAUUUUUUUUUAAAUGAGGAUCCCUUCUCUUAAAGGGCCUGUAUAACAAAUACUAUUGUAAUUAUUCAUUGUAUUGAAAGAAAGAUGAAUGUUUAGUUUCUAUAACUGACACACCCCGACCUGGAAUGUCUGCUAGGAUUCCGAAUCGAGGUGUGCUGGCUGACACCUAGAAGGUGACGAAGCCAUAAAUUGUGAUGAUGUGGAAAAAUGUGAAUAAAUUUAAACCUAAGAGUGCCUAAAUACCAGAGUUCACUGGUGAGCGGGAAUGAACCCACUUCACAUGUGACAUUAGAGCAUAAGCAAGUACAGAAUAGUGAAUUAAGAAUCGUACCCUCGAAAUAAUCUCCAAUACUAAGAAUCGCCACGAAUCUUGGACGAUAAGAAAGCUUAACUAAUAAGACCUGGAGGGUGAAGACAAGAUAAGAGUGAGUGGCCCUGUAAAUAAAAUUAUAAUAGAACCCAUAUAAAACAUUAUAACCCCUCGCUACAACACCUGUAUAAUAUCCAGAAAAUAUCAUAAAUAUACCACGAUACGGCAUCUAGUCAGCAAUAUCAAAUAAUCAUGUGAUUAAUAACUCAUACUAGUACGCAAGUCGGAAUCACCUAUGGUGACCUGUAUGACUUACUCAUAUCUCAUCACAUAUACUAGUUCAUCAUAUAUUUCAUCACAUAUGCUAGCUUAUCACAUAUUCAUCACAUAUGCUAGCUCAUCACAUAUUCAUCACAUAUGCUACAUAUUCAUCACAUGUGAUAUGCUAGUUUAUCACAUAUUCAUCACAUAUGCUAGCUCAUCUUAUCACAUAUUCAUCACAUAUGCUAGCUCAUCACAUAUUCAUCACAUAUACUAGCUCAUCACAUAUUCUUCACAUAUGCUAGCUUAUCAAUCGGAGUCACCUCUAGUGACCUAUACAACUUAUCCAUAUCUCCUCAUAUAUCUCAUUAAUCAUUGCUAGCAUAUAAGUCGGAGUCAUCUAUAGUGACUUGUACAACAUAUUCGUAUCUCAUCGCAUAUGCAAAUGAUAUGUCAGCCGGAUCCACCUCUUGUGGCAUAUACAGCUAAGUCUAUAGCUCAUAUCUCAAUCUAGUCGGAGUCACCUCUAGUGACCUAUACGGCACUACGCCUGCAUACGAGUCGGAACCACUGUAGUGGUAUGUACGACAGGACUAGGUGUAAAUGAAUACGCUCAAGUGCUACGAUCACGUGAAGAGUCACCUACGUGUCAGAAUCACCUAUAGUGGUCUGUACGACAGACCUGUGCACUUACCUUGAAUUCAAGGUAAGCGUAUGGUGCGAGAGGUGAACAUUACGUGAAGGAUUGUGCCCUAGCCAAGGGCGGGAGCACUAACACCGAGGUGCAGGUUUAUGAGCUUUAAAUGCAUCUAAUACAACAUGUAUGACUCAUAAGCAACCUGUAUGACAAUGCCGAAGUUGUCUACUAUUGCAAUCUGUGCGACAAUGUCGAAGUUGCUUAAAAUAUAAUUGUAGUCAUACCAUAACCCCAUCAGUUCAACUUAUACCGUAUUCUUACCUAGACUUACCUGAACUUACAUGAACUUACCUGCUAUGUUCUGCUUUCCUUCUUGCACUCUAAAGCGUUCACAAUAAUUUUGUGAAAGGAAUAUACAUAUGGAUAUAUCAGGAUGUAAUUCUGAAUUUCAACCAUACCAUAAUAUUUCCAGAUAUAUAAACACAUAAACAAAUGGCUUAAAAUGCAAUAAUUGUAACGCCCCACUCUCGAACCAUUUACUUUUGAGAAUAAUUAUCAGUGAUAAGCCUAAUUAGACACUAGUUUAAUUAACUAACAUUACUUACAUUUCCUUACUUUAAUUCCUUGAUUCUUCACACAUUGAUUUAGGAACGACAAUUAACUACCAAAUCAUAAGAUUAAUUCUCACAUUUUCCACCAAUGUCCCUCACAUUGUUCAAUUCCCCAAAUAAGGCUAUUGUCCCAAUUAUUUAGUCUCAUUUAUUAUAUGGCUGCAUCUAACAUCUUUUUAAACUACCUACGUACCCUAAACAGGGAUCAAGUCUUUCUUAGUUCGCAUUAGUAUGUCAAAGCAUUCACAGUAAUCAUAGGUAAUAAUUAAUUUAUAAACAUUUAUGGAAUUAUCAAUUAUAUAUAUAUAUAUAUACACACACACACGAUAGGAAGGAAAAGACCCACUCACCUAAGGUCCGCACUACGACUCCCUAGCACACAUAUGGAGACAUCACGAACCAUCACUGCCUGUGACCAAGGCCAAUUUGGCCUGGAAAGGCUCCAAUUUCCCUCAAAUCCACCGAGAACCCUAGAAAUGGGUAUUCUUGAUUUGUCCCCAAUUCGACUCCAACGUUCCAACCAAUGAUUGGGCAUUGUUCUAGGCCUCAAGGGAAGUCUAUUGGUGGUGACAAUUGGAAGAAAUUGCUUCAGAAAUGGGAGAAUUGACACAAAACCCGUCAGUGUCACCAUCGCCAAAUGUCACGGAUUUGACCCAAUUUCCAUCGAAUCUCGAUAGAAGAAUGAAGGGGAAGAGGUAUGGUGAUGAUUACAGGUGGAAAUGGGGUGAAAUUCGCCUGAAAAACGGCUUGGAAACGCCGGAAUUCCACCGUCUUCGAAACCGUGUUGGGUGCGGGUUCAAGGGAUCCAGCCGAUCCUCUCCUUUUCUUUCUCCCUCAUUUCCCUUCUUUCCUUCUUCUAGUUGGUCACGCCCUUCCUCUCUCCUCUCCUCACUCAGCCUCUCCUUCAAUUUUCCAGAUUGGGCAGCUUUGCCCAAUCCCUUUCUAUCCUCUUUUUUCUUCCUCUCUACGCCUUCAUCUUUCUUUUUCCCAUAAUUCUAACGACAACUAAUAAAAUAAUAAUACUUAUAAUCAUAUACAUAUAAAUAUAUAUAUAUAGUAACCAAAAUAAAAGUACUUCUCGAUUUAGAGUUCCGUAGAAUUUUAACCGUAACUCCAAAUCCUCUUCUGCUUGCGCCUACGAACUCGUGUUGUCGAAUACUUCAGGGAUACGCUAAAGCAAAAUUUCAUACGCCUCACUAUACGCUGAUCAACGAAAAUCAAAACCCUAACCUCUAAGGGCACUUUCGUAAAAUCAUGCCUUUAAAAUUCAUAAAAUCGUAGAAUUAGGGACGGGCUGUCACAAUAACCCUCAUGUAGAAGAAAACGACAUGUUGUUUAUUUAUCAUUUUAGAGAAUUUAUUUGGAAGAUUGGGUGAAAAUCGAUGAAUAUACAAAUCUCAAUUGAUGAACGGAUUAAAAUUAAAGUACAAAAGACAUCGAUCAAAUGCUGACAUAUUGCUCCCUCCAACAUUGACGACAUAUCGACCGAACGCUAAAAAUGAUCAUUUCCGCAAGUUCAUCAUGUCAUCCCAUCUCAAAGGUGAGUGAAAGCCACCAAGUAAUAGAAUAAUCAACCUUUAAUUUUUCUCACUGCGGAAAUGUGAAAUAGAAUUUGAGCGCAAAAGAGGUCGGCAAAGUUCAGCCCGUGUAAAAAUUUUCCCAUGCGGCUACGAACAUUGGUGUCAAUUGCAGCACUUGCCAACAACCGCCCAAAAAGCGGGCAUGCGCAACUGAACUUAGCACUCCUCAGUUUUGGAAAAGUUCAAUGACUAUUACAAUCAUAAGCAAUCAAGAUUCUUACUCAGCAUAUCACAACUCAGAACGUUUACAUAUAAAUUAUCAUGGAAAAUUAUAACUAAUGCAGUCGGAAGCUGCAUGUUUAAAUUUACAAGCCGACCCCCCGAAUUGUCCAAUUCUUCUUUUUCCGGUCGAAGUUUGCCCAAUUCAGGGGACCUGAAUAUCACCCAAUUGACCGGAGCAUAGUCCUAAAUUAACUUCACCGGUUGACCACUGAACACAAAAUUGACCUACUACCUUAUAUACAGCAGCCUACAAGAACUCCCUGGCAGAGUACGCCUUCGACUCAAAGAUCGAUUUACUGAGGAUGACUAUUUUUUGUUUGAGGAACCUGAGUGCUCACGUUGGCAAUCAAUGACUGUUGCGCGGCAACAAGAUGUGGUGGAGCGGACAGAUUUGACGGGGGUCUUGAAGCAGCAGGAGUUGGUUGGGUUGGCUGAAUAAUGAACUGGUUGAGAGCAGCAGAGUAAGCCCGACCUGACAGGCUUCCACGCAUCCGACCUGUUGGUCGCCAAUUCUCUCCGGAUGACAAGUCUGGUGAUCCAUCAGCCCCUGAAACUGCUUGCACCGUUUCUACUACGUUUCUGCUCUGCUCCAGUGCAGCUGUCCUGAAACCUUCAGCAUUUGCUGGCAAAAUUGGCCUGUUUCUUGGAGAUUGAUUUUGAACUGGCGUCGAUGGAGACUGCCUGGCCAUCAUAGCAACUCGCUGCUGCUGACCAAUCGCGAACCUUUGUUGGUUGUCUAAAGAACUUGAUGUUUGACCAGUCUCAACUCGUACACUUCCUUGCUGAAUAUGGGCCCGCGAGACAUGUGAAGAUGAUCGAUUGGCGCUUGAAAGCUGACCUACAGUCUGGGGAGUCCGUGGAUUAAAAGCUUGCUGCAGAUGUGCAUUUUGGAACUCCAUAAGCCCAAGAGAUGUUCGGUUAACACUCUGCAGUUGACUCGGAGCUGGAAGGCCAACAACCUGUUGGGCAGAUUGGCCAUGACGAUCCCAGUUCUGCAAGAUUAAUGAAAUGCAACUCAUUAGCAUGACAAAAUGGACACCAAAAAAAUAUCAUUUAGAUUGGAAUUCCGUAAAUUAGCAACGAAAAAGUCUCUACAAUGCUUUGGCCAACAACCAAUCAAACUGAAAAGUGUUGAUUAAAAAUCAAGAAUUUGAGGAACCAAUCAAACUGAAAAGUGUUGAUUAAAAAUCAAGAAUUUGAGGUCCAGGGUUCCCAACUUCUAUUUAUACUGGUCGCCACCAGCAUAACAAAAUGGACUUCAAGAAAAGAAGGGAGCAUUAACCUGUGUUGUUUGUGAGGGCGGUUGCAUUGACGAUGGAGCAAUAAUUGACACUUGAGGCAGAUUCAUUCGGGGCCUAGAAAAGUGUUGCUGUCUUUCCACAUCACUACAUACUGCAGUGACACCAUUUGCUGUGGGUGUGAUAGACUGGCCAACCUGAGAACUAAGAGAGGCACUAGGGGGAGUAUUGAAACUAGUUCUAGAUCUUUGCUGCAAUCCUGGCGUCUGGGCAGGAAGGGCCUGAACUGCUGUUGGUGUCCUAGGUAAUACUGUGUUAGCAAAUCUCCCAUACUCAUUGCUAACAGUAGCAUUUGAACUUGCAAACUGCGGCUGUUGUAACUGCAAAUUAUUGGAGGAAAAUUGAGUAUGCAUUGCAGAUGCCACAAGAUCAGUGUUCACACGACUCUCAGUUCCUCGAUCAAGCGCAGGAGAAACGGCAUCAGUCAACACAGGCAGGUGUAAAUAAUUUGCAGGACCAGAGUGAGAGAUACCACCAUCCAUCUGGGUGUCUGACCUUAUACUCGAAGUCAACGAGCCAUUAGGUAAGUAAAUGCCAGACCAAAAGUCGUCCUCUAGAUGAGCAGGAACAGUUUGAUUAACCCUGUUUGUGUUGCAAAGAGGUUUUACAUCUUCGGUUUCGCAAGCACUCAAGGUGUCCAUCUCAGUAUCAUCCUCAGUAAGAUCCAAAACAAAAGGAAUUGCAGAUGAGACACGGGUAGAUUCUUCCUGUUCGGAAAUUUCAUUUUGAAAGGCCUUAUCAUGUGCCUGAACUAGAUCAUCAUCAUUCUCCAGUCCAGCUUUCCAUGAUCCAUCCAUAGAGAUUAUUACCUCAGCAACAUUCGCUCCUACCUCUAUCAGGACCUAGGGGAGAAAAGCAACUGAUUUUAUAAUAUUGGGUAAAAAAUAACGCAAACAGACAGGACGAAUGCAAAUAAAUAGCUACUUGCCUUAACCAUAUUUUGAUCAACGCGGAGGUCCAAAUAGCAGACAUACUGAUUACAGUGGGGACAGCGCCACGAAGGUCGUCUUAAAUUUAUAUUGACGUAAUUACUGAAGUCGAAACACUAUAGCUCAUAUAAGCAACAGAAAAUUAUAUUAGAAGUCAGUAUUGACUAUAGUUACAAGAAAAUAUAUUACCAUGUACAACUACAAUCACAGAAUAACUUCAAAUUUCAUCAACUACCCAAAAGCUUGAAACCGAAAAAAUCAACUCAGGACAUAAAGGACAACAAAUCCAAUUCCAAAUUCUCAACUUCCCCUCCAAACCUCAACAACUAACAAGAGAACAUUUUGGUGGGACAAAGCAAAAACUUUCAUCCAGCUUUUUCUAUCCUCCUUACAACCCCUAUAGCACAAACAAAGAAAAUUUUAAUUUUUGUCUUUUUUCUGCUCCCAAAGAAUGAAAAAAAAAAUCAUAAUAAUAUUUUUAAGAUAUUAAAUCUGAACCCGAACUCAUAAGAAAUAUCUCCAACGUAUAAAUUGGAAACCACGUGACCUCCAAGCAGCACAUUAAAUCACUUGCACAUAUAAUGGAGGUGGAAAGCAUCAAUGUAAUUAGAAUCCACCUCUAGUGCACAAUUUAAAAAACAAAAAACUCUGAGUCUAAUAGAAUCAAUCAUGCAAGCAAGACGCAUACAAAUCGAGGAACAAUGUUACAAGUCUCAAAAGCUAGUUACAUAAUGAUUAUGAAGGAAGUUGCAAACAAAAAUUUAAAACCAAAGGCAUCAAUGGGAGAAAAGGAUGCAUGGAGCACUCACCUGAAGAUGUUUGCACAAAUGUCCUUUGACAGGAGUUUUUAUACGUGUAUAACUGUUUUACAGAUAAAAGUAAAAUGUAAUAAUCAGCAUCAUAGCAAUGAAGUUUCAUCAUGAAAGGAUUACCAAACUACACAUUUUUCAUCCAUUUUAAUGUAGAGAAAUAGACAACAAAAAAGUAGAUAAGAUACGAAACACACUUCAAACCAUUAACAAAUUUAUUCACUGAAACCAGGACACAUGAACAAAAUGCUAUUUUGAUUGUUGAACUCAAUGCUUGACAAUAUAGAAGCAGCUGGUGUAACUGAUGAAAAACACACAAAAUAAAAUUGAUGUUGUUCCAAUAUUUCAGUGAAAAACAAAAAAUGUUUCUUCAAAAAGAGAUUCAGAAGUUCAGAAUAUAUGAGACGAGAAAGAUCACAUAAAUAGGCAUCAACAUUUAACCUAUGACAUCUUCAUAUGAAGCUACUCAGCCUCUCCUGAUCAGAAUCAAUUGAAAAUUAGCAAAUAUCCCAUAAUGUUUCUAGCAUUAACAUUUCUACUUAAAGUAAAUCCUGAUAAUACGUUUCAAAUCAAAUGUCCCAGGAAUACAUAUCUCCGAUAUAAAAGGUUACAAAUACACUAAUAAAAUUCAAAACCAAAUAUAGUAAGAAAAUUAUAGCAACAUUAAAGCUACAAGCAAUAGAUAUCAAGGCAUACCUUAUGGGACAAUUGAGAGAAAUUCUUGAUGGCCCCUCAAUUAUAUCAGGAUCUAAUGAUUAAAAGAAGACAAUUAAAAAACUAUGCCAUUGUAAAAAGCCUAAAUGCUUUGCAAAUUCCUGAUACUACAAGAUAUAAUCAAGUGUCUUUUGAUGUUUCCUAUGGAGAAUACCUGAAUCUGACGGAGACACAGUGGACUGCGAAUAAUCUUUCAGUACUGGAGUGUCAGGUGAUGGUGUGAUACUCAUAAAGGCAACCACUAUGGUAUAAUGACCUAAAAAUAGUUCAAUGUGUCAGAGCUGGAUGAAUAUAGCACAAGAAAACUACAAUAAUUAGAACGUGAUGACUUGCAUCCAAACUCACCAUUGAAUUGGCCCACAGCUUGCAGAAGAUUUGAUCCAAACUUAAGCAUUCCAGUCACAACUGAAGGUAACUGGGGUCCAGUAUCCUGUAAAGAAAAUUAAAGGCACAGGGUGUUAUGAAAUGAAUACCAUGUUACAAUCCAAAUUUUGUCAAAUUUAGUUAUCCAGUUAGCGGAACCGCACAAACCAUUGUAACAUUGAUCCUUUUAUCUACUCCCUUUCCAUUUAGCAGAAAGCUACAGAAUUGAAAGAAAAAAAAUGUUGUUAGAAUAAAUAGGAAACACUUCUAACUAAACUAAAAGGUUGAGAGGAAAAUCAGCCGUACUUCACUUGUGGUGGACUUAUAAUACAUGCAGAUGUCUCUAUAUUAUCUGUUUGUGCUACAAGUAAUCGCUUGAGGCAAACAGAAAGGGUGAGGUCAAGAAUAACUUCUAAAAAUCAUAAUUCCAAUUUCACAUAUAAAUGGAAAACAGUAUAACGUAAACAAUUAGAACAAAGAGAGAAACCGCCACGAGUAUAUAACCAAAUAAUAAAGUUAUGAUGACACGAAUUAUAUGUAUAGUUAUUCUCUAAUAAGAUAAAUAUGGACAUACUUCUUUGUUGUUAGAUAGACAUGGACGACUAGGAUGCACAGAGGAUAAGAUCUCAGCCAUCCAUAUCAAAUCUAGCAACUACUAAAGACCUAAAUUAAGGACUUGCACCCUAAAUGUUAGAUCAGAUAUGGAAGAUUAAGAUGCAUCUCACUCACUACUAUUUGAAAUGAACAAUAAGCAUCUAGAAGGAGACAUAAGCCUUCCACUGGACCAGAUAUGACCAUUCAGUCAGCCUUCAUGAAUGAUGUGUUUGCUUGUGUUAGGAUUUUGGCUCGUCAAGGUUAGUGUCCUAUUUUGUAUAGGAUUGUAUUAGGGAAAUAAAAGGUGCACCGAUUCUUCUCCAAAAGGACUAGGAAAGAAUCAAAGUUUCCUUGUACAAUUAGAUUAGGAGUCCAAGAAGCCUAAUUUGGAAAAGGAAAAAUGUGUACUUUCCUAUUCCAUAUAAAAUAGGAAACUUAAUCAGAAAAUAGGCAUGUAAACCACACCCUAUACUUAUAAGUAGGGUGCGGCAAGGCUAGGGAAUGUGUGAGAAAAGCCAAAGAGAGCUGAGAGGGAUAAAGGGCGAAUAGUUCUAGGAUUUUACAAAAGUACUAUAACUCUAUUAUUAAUCAAAGAAGUCGUGGUUUUCUACCCAGGGAAAUCACAAGUGGACGUAGGCAAAAGUUCUGACGAACCAGCAUAAAUCUUGUGUGUCUCUAGUUAUUCUCUAAUUUGCUAAGUUUAGUCUACUGCUGGAUACAUCAAAGAGCAAGAUCCAUAGGGAGUCAACAUUAUAAUAACUUGUGUAUGAUGUAUGACAUUCAUGCAUACAUGUUUAAAUAAACUACAAGACUCAAGAACUUACAACCACUCCAACAUUCAAACAAAAAUGCAUCUAACUUUAUAAGAUGCUUACAAUUUUUUCUUGAGGAGAAUAAUGUGUACUCUUCGAAAUAUGGAAAUCAAGCACAUGCGCCCCAUAUCCAGACUACAACGUGAUAAGACAUACGUCAAAACAAACCCAAAAGAAGGGAUAGGAAAAAAAGUUGAAAAAGGGAAUGAAGAGCCACCUUGACUUCUAGAGAGGCAAGUAUCUGGCCCAUCUUCAUCAUUGGAUAAUACCUACACCACACACAAAAGGAGAUCUUUCUAAAUCAUUUGCAAACUCAGCAAAAGACAUCCGUUGAUACUUGAUACCAAAAGCAUGAUUAUUAGGACAAGCAAAGAAAAAAUAUUUUGAACCUUAGAAGCUAAAGAAGUCAUUGUAAUAAAAAAAUUCUACCUAUUUCUAGUUAAACUCUAAAUUCUAAAUUCUAAAUUCUAAUAUGAACAUGGUGCAGGAUCAUUAGGCUGAGAUGAUAUCCUUUAAAAGGAAACAUCAAAUGAAAUCUAUAUUAUACGUGUGUAUACACAUGUAUGUUGUAACAACAUGAACAAAAUUAAAGCACGAUACAAGUUCCCACCUUUCCAUAAUUGUGUCUAUAACAGAAAGAGAACAGCUAGCUCCAGUUUUAACAUCCCCCAAGCUGCAGAAGCUACUCCCUAUCUAUAAUUGCACAAGAAGAUCAUCAGCAACAUCAACAUAAGACAAAUUUAAGCAAUAAUAAACAAAUUAACAGCAUACCUCGUUAGCUAGAAAAAAGAGCUCUUCAGUCUCCUUAUCCGAAAACCAUCCAGUCCUACAAGCAUUCUGCCAAGUAAAACACAAAGUCAGCUCGAAACUCAUGAUUACGUUCAAAAUUGGAUACAAAACAAAAACCAAACAAAGCUUCAAGCAAAAAGGGGAUAACAAAAACAUGAACAUGGGCAAGCAGGAUAUGCUACUUUUUUUUUGGUAAAGAAGCAGGAUAUGCUACUUGGAUAAAUGGUUAGCAUCCGUUUUCGCAUUUAUUACAUAAAAUGAACCACAUUCUGGUUUAUACCUUAACAGAAAUCAUCAGCACCAUGAUAGCAGCUUCCAAAACCUUAUCACUCUUGCGUUGGCAUAUCUACACAAAACAAGAGUUAAAUUACAAAUCUGUCACUCAAAAUAAAGGGGAAAACAAACCGAAACCAGGAAUUCACGAACUAGAAGAAGAAAACUACAGUACCUGCUUCAACAACCCAGGUAAAUCUUGAGCAAUCGCCGGAACCUCAUUGUUUGCAACGGCAUAGUCAAUGCCUCUGCAUUUUGCCAAAGCAAUUUCAUAAAAAGGAAGGAAAAUUGAGGAAUUCAAUUAGGGAUUUGAGAAAAAUGGGGGAAAGGUUUUUACCUGGAAAGGGAAAGGCAGAGAUUGAAGAACUCCAUGGCCUCGCCGCGAUAGCCAGAUUUGACGUGAGCUGCCAAGCGCUCAGCGACGGCAGCGAUUCGGUAGGAGUUAACGACGGAAGCGGAGAGUCGCUGCUGCCCAACGCCUUUCAGACUGACUAAGUUGCUGACCGCCUGCGGUGUUAGCGUUGUUCGGCUCAUUAGCUCGCACAGACACACCCACCACACCCACACCUACACGCGCCCGUCUCUCUCUUCCUUUCUCUUCCCUCUCUCUCUCUCUCUCUCUGUCUCUCUCCCUCUAGGCCUUUCAAAUGUUACAAAAAUUGCAGGAGAAAUUAGAAAAAGGGUUCCGGAAAGCUACGCGGGACCCAUGACACAGUACUUGUAAUUUCCAACCGUGCAGGCAUUUUACAACAAAAAAUAAAUAAAUAAAGUGUAGGUAAUUUUUAUUUAUUUUUUGGGCGGGUAGAUCACCCUACAAACUAGCUCAAAGAGUUAUUACAAAUAAUUCGUGUCCUAAGACCCCUAUCAUAUCAUCAAAUAAUCGAGUUUCAAUCCAAUUAGGAGGAUUUUCAAAAUAAUGGUGUCAAAAUCCAUAUUAUAGCUACAAUUGGCAAUGUUAUCUACAAUCAUGUUCUCUUGAUAGACAUGCACUAAUUUGCAUUCGGCUAUGCGUGUCAUAAGUUAUCUACACUGAUGAAUAAUGUUGGCAUGAGAAUGAAAGCUGGUAUCAAUCAUAUUAUUAAUUAAGUUAACCACAAGAGCCGAAUCUAUCUCCAUCACCAUGAAUCUAGAAAUGAUGGAAACACCUCUCAACAAACCUUUUCCUCCACCAUUACACAAUGUUUUUCAACACACAACCCUUUCUUUGGCGAGUUCUCGCCGUCUCCGACGAAGGUAAGUCCCUAGAACCUCGUGGAUCGUGUUCUAGUAUUAUAUUAGGGAAGUUUUAGGCGUUAAUCACAUGUGGACAUAGGAGAAAACUCGAAGGAAUGUACUGUACACUUUCUGGAAAAACCUAAACCGUGGUUGUUUGGCCACUUUCUAGUCACUUUUCUAGCCAACUCUGACCUUUGUUGAUCUCGAAAGGGUAUAGAUCUCUUCUCCACAUUUCUAGCUUUACAUAGGAUCUUGAAUCACUCGAUUUAGAGUUGUAUUGAGCUCAAAAUAAGCUCUGGAAGUUGGAAGAAAAUCUGGAAAAUUUCCAGAAAUUGGGAAGGCGAGUACAGUGUACUCAUGGGCGCAUGGGGCUACGCGUGGUGUUGUAAUGCCCAGUGCGUGGAGCACACGCACCUCCAUCGGAGGUACUGUGCUUCGCCACCAUCCACGACGACAACCACGGCAGCACUGACGACUUUCCGACCAACUUUCCAAUGACCCAAAUCGAUGUAUGGCGGAACAUCCAGUGGUGAGUAGCCUCACAGCCGCCGCCCCGCGGUGACGCGCGGCGGCACGUGAAGGAACCCGAGGUCCCUUCUUAGGUUUUUCGACGUCCCGAAUCCAAAUUCAACAUCCGUUUUCCCAAAUUCAAUCGUAUUAGUAGGGUUUUAAUAAUUGGUCCUUUUAUGUGCUUAGGUGCGAUUGUUGGUGGCGAUUCCAUCCUCCCUUGCCCAAACGGCUCUUUAACGACAGAGUAUCAGUGAAUGAACCCCUUCUUAAAUUGCAUGAUUUUUAUUAAAUGCUAGACUUGCAUUCAUGAAAAGCAUGGUUUCAUGAUUUUACGUGUCAUGCUUUAUUUACGAUUUAUUGAAUUUAAGUUUACGAAAGAUUUACGAACCAUGGCUUUUUACACUUUACGAUACAUGAUGGAUUUAUUAUGAUUUUGGAUGAUGAAGUUUUGGUAUUGUACACUUGGUAUGAGAUUUUGGUUACGUUUUUCGGUGCUUAUCUGGUGGGUAAUCAUACAACACAUACACAUAACCUGAGUAUGUAUACGUUUAUAGCCAUAGGACACAGUUCAGGAUCAAUGAGAUACUUAUGGCAUACUCCUAGCUUCAUUGGAAAAACCAGUGUUAGAUAGCUUCACUAGCCACAGUUAGUGUCGGUGUGUUAUGUUAUAUUUCUUCUCUAGCUUCACCCAGAAUGUUACAGCUUCACCUUUAGGUGAUGGGAUCUACCAUGUUUCUUCACUGGCAUAACCCAGUGUCGUACAGCUUCACCCUCGAGUGAUGGAUAUGCUUCGGGCGACUAUGAUACCCUUAAUUGAGUACUUUAUUAUUUUGGAUUUAUGAAGGUUUUAUGGAUUUACCUUCGAGCGACUAUGUUAUCAUUAAUGAGCACUAUUUUAUACAUACAUGUGGAUGCACAAAAUCAGCGAGGACUUUGGUACAAUAGAAAGUGUUAAGUUUGUGACCUUCGCUAGAUUGUUCCGGUCACUAGUGUGGAUAAGUAAGUAAAUGGAUAGGGACAGGGAAGCAAACACAAGAUGUACGUGGUUCACCCAGAUUGGCUACGUCCACGGAGUAUGAGGAUUUCUCAUUAAUUGUGAAGGGUUUACACAAGUACAUAGGUUCAAGCUCUCCUUUAGUGAGUACUAGUGAAUGAUUUAGUACAAAUGACAUUAGGAAAUAUUGUGAGAUAAUGAUCUCUAUUUAUAGAAGAGAGUUUCUAGUUUCAUUCUAACAUUGACACGUGUCGUGUUGUGAUUGGCUUUUGAUGUUAACACGUGUCGCGCUAUGAUUGGCUUCUGAUGUCGACAUAUGUCGCACUGUGAUUGGCCUCCUGGUUGGAGGGAAACUCUUCUGGGUCCUUGACGGUAUAACGGUGACCGGUCCUCAGUAGUUUCGAGAUUGGUCAAGUAUGGUACAAACAGUGCUCCCCUAAGUUCCCGAAUAAGGGAAGCUCAUCAGUUGGGGACUUGCAAGAUCCAAGUCAUUGAGUAAUCAUGAAACUUCUAAGUACCGAAGUGUGGUAUCAUUUUCACUUUCCUUAUCUGUCUCAUAUGUAGAUGUGGCAUCUUCUUUAGAAGUACUUUUCCUCCAUCCACGGGUGGUAUCUUUAACCGAUGAAGAUGCACAAGGUAAUGUAUCAAUUUCACUUGAAGCUUACUUGUAGUUUCGAGCUUGGUUAAGUGCGAUACAAACCCUAUAGUAAGAGUCCCCCAAGUCGCCGAGCUAGGAGAUUUGCCGAAGGAGGUAACAGACAAGGUAAGCAAUCAGACUUCCAAGCAAGCAACCUGGAUCGGAAGUUCGACUUCGGCUUCCGGUUGAUUGUUCUCCUUCUUCUUGUGUCGUAAAUAGCACCAAGGAUAAAGAGAAGCAAAUGGAGAAGAGAUGAUAUGAGAUACUUUUGAUUUUGAAGAAAUAACUUUCCACAGGCUUAUUCUUGAACUGGGCUGGAGGGUUUUCUGGUUUCCUCCAGAGUAUAAGGCCGACUCAAGAAUUUGAGGGUCAAAACAAGUCCAUCAAAUCUAGAGUACGUUCGACCCUGAUGAUAUGGGAUAUUUUUGCUGUUGAAAAAGUAGUGGAUGUAUCGGCACAUGUUCUGUUACGCUUGUCUCCACAUGCUUCCUUGUAUCAUUCUCACUUACCCUAUCUGUUCCUCAAGCAGAUGUGGUAUCUUCUCUGGAAGCAUAAGAUGUUGAAGAUGAGUACUCGAGAGCAAUGCCAGGUAAGUAAUCAGGCAAGGGGUUCCAGGCAGUCAAUUCCUAACUGGAAGCUUGAUUCCACGACGCCAAAUGUUGAUGCACAAAAUCAACGAGGACUUUGGUACAACAAAAAGUGUUAAGUUUGUGACCUUUGCUAGAUUGUUCCGGUCACUAGUGUGGAUAAGUAAGUAAAUGGAUAGGGACAGGGAAGCAAACACAAGAUGUAUGUGGUUCACCCAGAUUGGCUACGUCCACGGAGUAGAGGAGUUCUCAUUAAUUGUGAAGGGUUUACACAAGUACAUAGGUUUAAGCUCUCCUUUAGUGAGUACUAGUGAAUGAUUUAGUAUAAAUGACAUUAGGAAAUAUUAUGAGAGAAUGAUCUCUAUUUAUAGAAGAGAGUUUCUAGUUUCAUUUUGACAUUGACACGUGUCGUGUUGUGAUUGGUUUCUGAUGUUAACACGUGUCGCACUAUGAUUGGCUUCUGAUGUCGACAUAUGUUGCGCUGUGAUUGGCCUCCUGGAUUGAGGGAAACUCUUUUGGGUCCUUGACGGUAUAACGUUGACCGGUGCUCAGUAGUUUCGGGAUUGGUCAAGUAUGGUACAAACAAUACACAUUUUAGAUGUUUUCAUGGCACAUUAGGGUUUUCAGAAAAACCUAGUAUGUAGUAUUAUAUAUGUCUGUUUUCAAAACAGAGGUAUGUUCAAAAGAAAAUUAGGUUUACUUAGUAUUAAUUUUAUUAUAAACUUUGGUCCACUCACCCCCUUCAAGACUUAAAAUCGAGGCGUACGAUUUCAAUGUUAAGGCAUUCCUAUAUCAGUACCUUCGAGUCCUCUCGGUGUAGGACCCCCAUUUCUUUGUAAUACCAUUGUUAUAUAAUAUUCUUUUCGUAGUAUCCUUGAUUAGUUGUAAACUUUGAACACAUUCCCGCAUUCGCAUAUUUCAUUAUAUUUAAAUUUACUUAUUUUAUUUACAGUUGCUUUUUCUUCAUAACUUGCAUACAUGUUAAAAUGGCUUCUUCACCCUGGGGUGUCAGCCAGCACGUGCCCAUCUUGGUGUUUGAAGGAUAUCGGGAUCAGGGUGUGUCAUAAAAGGAGACACAAACCAGACAGCUCGAGCAAACCCAAAGUCCUUUGAUAAAUGUUCGUCAGUUUUCAAGCGCUCCAUUGCACACCCCUCCAUACCAUAUCCAACUUGACUCCUUUUGGAUAGUCUUGCCACCAGGGAAUCAAAAUGGUGGAGUAGCCGCCACCCUUGCUUAGUCACCAUUGCCAAGUUAAAGGCAUAAAUGUCUCGACAUCCCAAACCACACUCCGCCUUUAAUUUACAUAAUGUCCCAUGACCACCGAUGGAUUUUACACGCCUCCGGAUCACUUCCUUACCAAAACAUUGCUAUUAACUGAUGUAAUUCAUUGCAAAAAGUUUUCGGUAAUGAAAAACAGUUCACUGCAUAAGAUGGGAAAGUUUGAGCCGCCAACUUUAUAAGGAGUGCUCUGCCACCUCGACUAAGCACCUUACUUUUCCAUCCACUAAGCCAUUUGGCAAUCCUCUCUUUAAUGAAUGAGAAGGUUUGUUUCUUGUUCCUUCCCACACCCACAAGGGUAGGUAGCACCAAGUAUCUAUUAUGUCAUCCACCAACUAAACCCUCAGAAAAUCGGCCAAUUACCGCUGCUCAUAGUAUUGCAUAUUAGCACUAAAAGCUACACUACUUUUACUGAAGUUCACUGCUUGACCCAACCUGAUGACUUGGAAUACAAGUCCAAGACAUUUUGGACGACAACAUAUUCAUCCACGUUGGCCUUACCAAAUAGAAAGCUAUUGUCGGCGAAAAGCAAAUGAUGAAUACUUGGUGCCCCGUCACAAAUGUGUAUACAACUCAAAGCUCCCAUUUGUUCCUUCUUUGCAAUGAGCCGAUAGACCUUCAACACAAAUGAGGAAAAGAUAUGGCGUCCCCUUGCCGUAGUCCCUUGGUUGGUACCACGUAACCUCGCGACUCUCCAUUAAUUAAAAAAGAAUAUGAGACUGAUUUCACGCAAGUCAUGAUUGCCUUAGUCUAUUUCCCGUCAAAUCCCGUCUUAAACAUCAUUGUUUCCAAAAACGUCCAUUCCACUUUGUCAUGGGCUUUACUGAGAUCCAGUUUCAAAGCUAGAAAAUCAUCUCUCCCCGCACGUUUAUUAUGUAGAUAAUGGUCAAUCUUCGCUACCACCAAGGAAUUAUCCAAAAUCAAACAGCCCGAAACAAAAGCACUUUGAUGUGGAGAGAUAAUGGUAGACAUAAUUCAUUUGAGCCGAUUGGCUAACAUAAUUCAUUUGAGCCGAUUGGCUAACACCUUAGCUCUUAUCUUGUAGAUGACAUUGCAUAAACUAAUGGGUCGUAACUAUGACAUAUCUUGAGGCUCAUUAACUUUGGGUGCCAAAACAACAUCAGCGAAGCGAGCCUCCCUCAAAAGUCUUCCCGAAUUAAGGAAGGAGCGAACAUCCUCCACCACAUCAUGCCCAACAAUAUGCCAAAAACGUUGGUAAAAUAGCUGGGAUACCCCAUGCCAAAUAAAGUAUAGGCAUUGACGAAAGGGAUUUUGGUUAAUUUAUAUUUAAUUUGUGAUCUGAGAUCUAUUGAGUGAAGUGAAAUACUAAAUCGUAGUAGAGAUUAGAGUCGUCUAGCGACUAUUACUUUUAAUUCAAACGAAAGAAAAUUGGUAUGAACCUAAGAUCUCUUCAAUGAUUUCUUGCAUUGAUCAUGUUCUUUGUAACGUGAAGCUUCAAUCUAUAUGCCAUGUACGCAUCAAACCGAUUGCAUAUCGAAAAAAUAUCCCUCUUAAAGUUGGCUUCUUAAAUCUAUAAAUUUUCUAUGAUUUCUUGCAUUGAUCAUGUUCUUUGUAACGUGAAGCUUCAAUCUAUAUGCCAUGUACGCAUCAAACCGAUUGCAUAUUGAAAAAAUAUCCCUCUUAAAGUUGGCUUCUUAAAUCUAGAAAUUUUCUAGAAGGGUAAUGCUAGAUAAACUAAUCAACUCUUAUGUCAUUUAGUUUACAAAAAAUUGUCUAACAAUUUAGUCUCCCUAGCAUUAUCUUUUCUCGAAUGCACCUGUCGAAGGGUAGUUGAAAGUAAGUAAUUUUUCGCACUUUUAUUUUUCUAUCCUCUAGGUUUUUUUUGUCAAACAUUAUAAAAUCCAUUAAUAAAGAAAGCAAGUACAAAAGAAGGAAAGCCCAAAACAAACAAGUAAAAGCACAAUCCAACAUAAUAGAAAAUACGAUGAAUAAGAAAAGAAAGACCACAAACAAGAGAAAACUCCAACUGAAACCCUAAAUUUGAAAAAAAAAAUUAAAUAAAUAAAAAAAAAAGAAAAAGUGCCUAACCCCUCUAUAAGCUAGUUGCAGCACCUUCACAACGCCAACACCAUCAAGAAGACGAACCAAGGAACCACAAAUGGAUGAAUGAAAAAUGAAGGUGGCCACGCCACCCGCGCAAUGAGCGCUCCCAUAGUCCUACCAGAUAGUGCAAAUAUCACUUUAAAAGCCACCAUAUGGUGGAGCACACCUCCUAAUGAACAACUUGGAAGAGCCAUCCAAUGAAACAAGUAGCCAAGGUUGAUGAUAGAGGAUUCGUAAGGAGGAACAACAACUGGGAGGAACGAUGCAUAACAGACUGAGAUAAACUCAAAGCAAAAUUGAAACGAGCUCAGAAUAAACUGAGACAAAAGCUCAGAGCACAGCACCAGAGGAUAACAGAUGCUAAUGCUGAUGAGGGAAAGAAAACAAAACCAGAAGGAAAGCAGACAAAAAAAAAAAAAAAAAAGAAACAGAAGGGAGGGAGAGACCAGGACGGAGGGAAAGAAAGGAUUUGGGGGAGGGGUUAGAGGGGAGAAAUAAAUCAGAAACCCUCCCAAACUUCACAUUCAUUCACUCACAAUUCAUUGCAUACGAAAACCUUUGCAACACAUCGAACAAACGAUUUUCUCAUCCUUCAAUGAGGCUACCCAACAAGUCAAAAUCUGAUUAAUGACUUCAUGAUUUUCAAUAACCACACUUCUACGGUAAACGUUCACUGCCACGUAACGUCCCAAUCCAAUAAUGCAAUGUUAUGCAGUGAGAAUCUUACACAGCGCCACAAUGAUAGUAAACCCAUUUCAUGUGUGUCCUCCUGCCAAAGGACAGCAACAUAAACACUCCCUGCUGAAAUGCCAGACAAUGGUGGAGUUCCAAUUAGGGCAUAAAGUCAAUUGCAAGCAACAGAAGAUUUAGGUUUUUCCAUGAAACAAAAACUUCUAAAAUUCAUCACAAUGGAGUCGAAAUUUCAAUUAUACAGUUAAAUUUCACUUUUCUUUCUUUUUUUCCAAAAACAAAAAGUCGCACUAAUUCUAAUACACUAAUGGCUCUUUUGCCACUGUAGAAGUAACUUUUCAGCUUCAUCUUCUGUACGACACAAAAGAAGGCAGAGGAAUAAACAAACCUUGCAGCCGAGAGAAAGCCGAGCAGCACAAGAUGAUACAGAAGGUGUUCUCAGAAGUUACAAUUAAAGCUUCUGCAACCGAUCAGCCCUUACCUUGCGUGAGAGAAAAAUACACAGCUAAGAUCAUUGGGUUCAGAGAAAUCACAGUUGAUAAAACGUGGAUAAAAUCUAAGGUCACUGAACAUUGAAUUAACAUAGAGAUUUCCCCAUAACAGCUAAUUCCUAUCGCCAAUUACCUUAGGCUUCCAUUCAGUACUAUUUUUCCUACUGUAAUCGUGUUCGUUGUUUCCGUUUGAUUUAUUCAAUCCCAAGGCCAGAAAUAAACACAGGCAUGUAGGAAAAGAAAAAUGGUGUGGCUAUUCCAACACUUGUAGCAGUUUUUCACCUAUUGCUUUUUGAAUUAAUUCCUAUGUCUAAAUCUCUGUACCUUGUGCGGAGGACUUCCUGGUCUUAACAUGUUGUUGCUUAUCCCAAGCCUUCCCUUCUUCUCAGAUGCUUUCAAAAUCUGGAAGGAACAUGUCAUGUAUCAUCUACACUCAUCAUGGCACCAGCAUUAUCGAACUCCCCACAGCAAUUUUGUGCUGAAAGUAUGGUUACCGGCUUUCUUUUUCCGAAAAACUCAUAUCCAUCUUCCACAACCUGAUAAACAAAACUCAAGAAAUUUAAUAAGAAAUGGACAAACAUUGAGAGAAUCUGAUAAUAAAAUACAAUUUGCAUCUCAGACCGAGCAAAAAUAUGUGUUCACAAAUACUCAUAUAAAGAAUUUCACUCCAGCAUCAAUUGGAAGACAAUAUCCAAUCAAUUAAAUGAGUAUGUGAUGAAACAGGUGAAACACAAGAAGUCCUCCUAUCGAAUGAAUAUUUUCAAGUGUACAACUACUUAUUGAAAAAUUUAUACCUGCGCCUAGAAUCUCAACACAGCACAUGGCAUACUAGCAUUCGAUACCAAUACACCAGGAUAACAACCCAAUGGACUUACCACAGUGACAAAGUUGAUGAUGAGUAGUGGAAUGAAUAUGAAAAAAAGGGGAAAUCAACCCAGAAAAACAGAUAAAUCAAUGCAAACACACACAGAAUCUCAAAUUAUAACUUACUCCGUGUGCUUUUACAUGUCAAAAUAUGAAAGACUAAAUUUUAAAAAAAGUUAUGUCAAAAUUAUCAUAGUUGUAUAAGAAAAGUGAUUAUUUGAAGAUGCAUCACAUGUGGUCAAAUCUUUAAGUCCCAGAUGUUGUGUAUACAUGAUGCAGGUCCAGCUCAGUCACAAACGAAAAAACAAAAAGAAAGAAAACAACUACAUAGCACCUGAUGAGCACGACAAAUGAGAUCAAGGUCAUGUUUCUGGAGAAAUUUGGCAACCUUGUCAGCCCAAAUGUAUAUGACCACCACAAUCAUUCUCUCCCCAACCUUCAACAUCUUUAUCGGGAUCAGCCCAUAAUAGAUCACAGAAAAGCUCCCGAAACUGUUCACCUUAACGAAAAACCAUAUUUUUCACUAAAAAGUCAAUCCCGAUACUAUUUACUUUACCUUUUAUUUUGUCAUUAUUGAUAAAACUCAAAGUUUUCAAGCAUUUUUCAUUAGUUUUCCUAUUUUUCUAUCCUCUAUAGUUUGAAUAAAUAAAAACCCCACCCAAACUUCACAUUCAUUCAUUCACAAUUCAUUGCAUAAGAAAACCUUUGCAACACAUUGAACAAACGAUUUUCUCAUUCUUCAUUGAGGUUACACGAAAAACCGAACAAGAAGUCCUAACCUGAUCAACGACUUCAUGAUUUUCAAUAACCACAAUCCUAUUGUAAGGGUGCGUUUGUUGCACCGGAAUAUCUCAUAAUAACAACACUUCUACUAUAAUAAAGGUUUCACCACCAUGAGGCGUCCCAAUCAAAUAAUGCAAUGUUAUGUAGUGAGAAACUUGCACAGAGCACCAAAAUGAUGGUAAAGGAAAGCAACACACUCGCAGCUGAAUUACCCUGAAAUGGUAAAAUCAAUUGCAAGCAACAAAAAAUUUAGGUUUUGCCAUGAAACAAAAACUUCUACAAUUCAACACAAUGGAGCCGAAAUUUCAAUUAUACAGAUAGUUUCACUUCUUUUUUUGUUUUUGGGAAAAAAAAGUGGCACUAAUUCUGAUACACUAAUGGCUCUUUUGCUACUGUAGAAGUAAAUUUUCAGCUUCAUACUUCUCUACGGCACAAAAGAAGGCAGAGGUGAAUAAUCAAACCUUGCAGUCGAGAGAAAGCCAAGCAGCACAGGAUGAUCCAGGAGUUCUCAGAAGUUACAAGUAAAGCUUCUGCAAUCAUUCAGCCCUUACCCUGCGAGAGAGAAAAGUAUGCAGUUAAACAUCGUUGGUUAGAGAGAAAACACGGUUGAUAAACUUGGAUAAACUCCAAGGUCACCGAUCGAUGAAUUAACUUACAGAUUUCCCCAUAACAACUAAUUCGCAUUGCCAAUUACUUUAGGCUUCCAUUCAGUACUAUUUGACCUACUGUAAGUAUCCAAGGAUGCCAGGUAAGAUACUUCUUACAUUUGAUUCAUCAAAGCUUCGAAACUAUUGAUUAACUCUCCACGAAACAUUAAAAACUUAGGGAAUGAUAACCACACACCCUUUUUCUUCCCCUACAUACCCCCGUCUAAUUAUGUCCAUUGUUUCUGUUUAAUUAAUUCAAUCCGUAGGCCAGAAACAAAAAGAGGCAUGUAGGAAGAUAAAAAUGGUAUAGCAAUUCCCAAAACUUAUAGCAGUUUUUCCCCUAUUGCUUUUUGGAUGUAAUUCGUAUUUCUAAAUUUCUGUACCUUGUGAGGAGGAGUUCCUGGUCUUAACAUGUUGUUUAUCCCAAGCUUCCCCUUCUUCUCAGAGGCUUUCAAAAUCUGGAAGGAACAUGUCAAUGUAUCAUCUACACUCAUCAUGGCACCAGCAUUAUCAAAUUCCCCACAGUAAUUUGGAGCUGAAAAUAUGGUUACCAGCUUCCUGUUUCCAAAAAACUCAUAUCCAUCUUCCACAACCUGAUAAAUGAAACCCAAGAAAUUCAAUAAGAAACGGACAAACAUUGAGAGACUCUACUAAUAAAAUUCAGUUUGCAUCUCAGACCAGGCAAAAAACAUGUUCACAACUAAUCAUAUAAAGAAUUUCACUCCAGCAUCAAUUGAAAGAGAGUAUCCAAUCAAUUAAAUGAGUACGUGACGGAACAGGUGAAAUACAAGAAGUCCUCCUGUGAAUAAAUUUUU